UUUUCCUGACCUUCCAAGGCUAUAAGAUAUGGUGUGGAUUAUUUUCAUUUGCAUAUAUCGUAUUCUUUCUCACUUGCCUUUCCAACUUUUUAUUCGUGAAGACAUGGGAGUCAUCAAAGUGCCAAUCCUGCUAUGCAUGCUUCUCCUCACACCACUUCUCUUUGCUCUUGGAUCGGAAGCCAAGACCUGCAAACAGAAGAGCGUCAGAUAUCAGGGUUUUCCAUGCAAUAACGGUGCAUGUGCUGAUGCCUGUCGCAAGGAGGGCUUUACUCAAGGAGGGUGUGCCUUUGUGAUCAUAAAACCACCUGUAUUGUCAUGUUUAUGCAAAAAAGAGUGUUGAAUAAAAACAUGUAGAAAUUGUCGUAGGAUGUGAUGUAAUAAAUAUUAUGUCUUUGAAGUAGACUGAGUUGACGAUGAUCAAUAGAAGAAGUUGAGGCUUUA
Lolium perenne is the source of this 441-nucleotide long non-coding RNA. RefSeq lists it as uncharacterized. The record is from RefSeq and is a predicted model, not a curated record. Lineage: Eukaryota; Viridiplantae; Streptophyta; Magnoliopsida; Poales; Poaceae.